CCUUUGACGUUAGCGGCGGACGGGUGAGUAACACGUGGGUAACCUACCUAUAAGACUGGGAUAACUUCGGGAAACCGGAGCUAAUACCGGAUAAUAUUUAGAACCGCAUGGUUCGAUAGUGAAAGAUGGUUUUGCUAUCACUUAUAGAUGGACCCGCGCCGUAUUAGCUAGUUGGUAAGGUAACGGCUUACCAAGGCGACGAUACGUAGCCGACCUGAGAGGGUGAUCGGCCACACUGGAACUGAGACACGGUCCAGACUCCUACGGGAGGCAGCAGGU
This 279-nucleotide ribosomal RNA is filed under the name uncultured Staphylococcus sp. Its description in RNAcentral is "partial 16S ribosomal RNA". It matches the Rfam family "Bacterial small subunit ribosomal RNA", at positions 83 to 354 of the family's 1533-position model. The record is from RNAcentral. Lineage: Bacteria; Bacillati; Bacillota; Bacilli; Caryophanales; Staphylococcaceae.